This 537-nucleotide ribosomal RNA is filed under the name uncultured bacterium. RNAcentral describes it as "partial 16S ribosomal RNA". It matches the Rfam family "Bacterial small subunit ribosomal RNA", at positions 355 to 883 of the family's 1533-position model. The record is from RNAcentral.
UGGGGAAUAUUGGACAAUGGGGGGAACCCUGAUCCAGCCAUGCCGCGUGUGUGAAGAAGGCCUUAUGGUUGCAAAGCACUUUAAGCGAGGAGGAGGCUACUGAGACUAAUACUCUUGGAUAGUGGACGUUACUCGCAGAAUAAGCACCGGCUAACUCUGUGCCAGCAGCCGCGGUAAUACAGAGGGUGCGAGCGUUAAUCGGAUUUACUGGGCGUAAAGCGUGCGUAGGCGGCUUUUUAAGUCGGAUGUGAAAUCCCCGAGCUUAACUUGGGAAUUGCAUUCGAUACUGGGAAGCUAGAGUAUGGGAGAGGAUGGUAGAAUUCCAGGUGUAGCGGUGAAAUGCGUAGAGAUCUGGAGGAAUACCGAUGGCGAAGGCAGCCAUCUGGCCUAAUACUGACGCUGAGGUACGAAAGCAUGGGGAGCAAACAGGAUUAGAUACCCUGGUAGUCCAUGCCGUAAACGAUGUCUACUAGCCGUUGGGGCCUUUGAGGCUUUAGUGGCGCAGCUAACGCGAUAAGUAGACCGCCUGGGGAGUAC